CUCGUGCAGGCCCUGAAGCAGAGAGAAGCCAUCCUGAAGCUGAUCCUGAAGAAUGAAAACGUGGACAGGCACGUGGACCUGCUGGAAGUGGCCAAAGAGACGGACGGCUUCUCGGGCAGCGACCUGAAGGAGAUGUGCCGCGAUGCCGCCCUCCUGUGCGUCCGGGAGUACGUGAAUUCUGCCUCCGAAGAGAGCCGUGAUGAAGAUGAGAUUCGGCCAGUGCAACAGCAAGACCUGCACCGGGCGAUCGAGAAGAUGAAGAAAUCCAAGGAUGCCGCUUUUCAGAAUGUUUUAACCCAUGUUUGCUUAGACUAAGAGUAAAGGCCGUUUGUUUGUAUGGUUUCCGGGCUCUGGCGUGGUGGCGUCCUCUGCCGGCUCCGAGGGGAGGCGGGUCAUGGGGACAAGGGCCGGCCGGGCUUUGGCCUGUACAUAGGUGUGAAUGCGUGCGUGCGUGUCCACUCACCCAUUUUCUAUUGACUUUCUUUUGGAGAUAUCGGAAUACAGAAGCUUUUUUUAAAUCCACCAGUUUCGGGCCACGUCUUCCGGCGCGCCCCACACCGGGCUGGGGGGAGGGUACCCCGGGGGGAGGGGCGGUCCACGGCCCCCACGCAGGCUUGUCCCACGAGCUCCCACUUGGUCAUUCCGGGCAGCCGAUGGGUUCGAGCGAGGUUGGUGGCUUGUGCCGGCGGGCAAAGGCGGCUUCCUGAACACACGCCUCAGACAGGCAGCCCUAAAACGACGGAUGUUCCAUGUCAGGCUGGACGAGUUUCUUCUGUAACUUUAACUUUUUUAUUUCUUAGAGCAUCGCUAUACAUCGUGCCCCGGGGCCGGCGCCGGCACUAGGAAGACUUCCCAGCCUCCCCCGAGUCUGCUCGGCGCCUGGGGGGCUGUUUUGUGCCGGGAAUUCUGUUAUCCAUAAUUCUGGGAAAGCCAGUUUGGGUUCGCUCAGGGCCAGGCCUGGGGCCUCAGACCCUCACUAUGGCCCUGUCCGGCCCUCAAGUGCCUUCCCAACCUGUGGCCAGGCUCCCCCCGGGACGGUACAUGUUUCUGCCAAUGGAUGACCCUCGUAUGUGGUCCUGGUGUUCUUCUGUUAACUGGAAUAUUUGAUUUUUUAGAUCCCUUCUCCUCAGUCCUAGGCACAUGGAGUUAAUCCACUUGCCCAGGGUCCCCCAGCUAGUACCCAUCUGAGGUCAAAUUUGAACCCAGAACCUCGACCCCAGGCUGCCCCUUCAGUAGUUGAGUGACUAGAAUGCCUCGUGCUGGAUAACAGAGUUUACCGUGUCUCACCUGGGUUUCAGAGUCGGAGGUAAAGAGGCUGGUGGGGAGAAGCCGACGGAGAACAACGCAGGGGCCAGCCUAACCCUCCUCCCCUCCAAUGGCACCCAAGGACCCCGUCUCCGGCGACAGGCCUGUGCUCACUUCUCACUUUGUAAAUGUCUAAUAAAGGGGUCCCUGAUCACCGACACGCUCCACCA
Gracilinanus agilis (Agile Gracile Mouse Opossum) is the source of this 1475-nucleotide long non-coding RNA. RefSeq lists it as uncharacterized. Lineage: Eukaryota; Metazoa; Chordata; Mammalia; Didelphimorphia; Didelphidae. The transcript is spliced from 3 exons. The record is from RefSeq and is a predicted model, not a curated record.